RNAcentral lists this ribosomal RNA (497 nucleotides) under uncultured bacterium. Its description in RNAcentral is "partial 16S ribosomal RNA". It matches the Rfam family "Bacterial small subunit ribosomal RNA", at positions 28 to 507 of the family's 1533-position model. The record is from RNAcentral.
GACGAACGCUGGCGGCGUGCCUAAUACAUGCAAGUUGAGCGCUGAAGGUUGGUACUUGUACCAACUGGAUGAGCAGCGAACGGGUGAGUAACGCGUGGGGAAUCUGCCUUUGAGCGGGGGACAACAUUUGGAAACGAAUGCUAAUACCGCAUAAAAACUUUAAACACAAGUUUUAAGUUUGAAAGAUGCAAUUGCAUCACUCAAAGAUGAUCCCGCGUUGUAUUAGCUAGUUGGUGAGGUAAAGGCUCACCAAGGCGAUGAUACAUAGCCGACCUGAGAGGGUGAUCGGCCACAUUGGGACUGAGACACGGCCCAAACUCCUACGGGAGGCAGCAGUGGGGAAUCUUCGGCAAUGGACGAAAGUCUGACCGAGCAACGCCGCGUGAGUGAAGAAGGUUUUCGGAUCGUAAAACUCUGUUGGUAGAGAAGAACGUUGGUGAGAGUGGAAAGCUCAUCAAGUGACGGUAACUACCCAGAAAGGGACGGCUAACUACGUG